This 532-nucleotide ribosomal RNA is filed under the name Rhodotorula mucilaginosa. Its description in RNAcentral is "eukaryotic LSU rRNA". It matches the Rfam family "Eukaryotic large subunit ribosomal RNA", at positions 80 to 628 of the family's 3401-position model. Lineage: Eukaryota; Fungi; Basidiomycota; Microbotryomycetes; Sporidiobolales; Sporidiobolaceae. The record is from RNAcentral.
CUAGUAGCGGCGAGCGAAGCGGGAAGAGCUCAAAUUUAUAAUCUGGCACCUUCGGUGUCCGAGUUGUAAUCUCUAGAAAUGUUUUCCGCGUUGGACCGCACACAAGUCUGUUGGAAUACAGCGGCAUAGUGGUGAGACCCCGGUAUAUGGUGCGGACGCCCAGCGCUUUGUGAUACAUUUUCGAAGAGUCGAGUUGUUUGGGAAUGCAGCUCAAAUUGGGUGGUAAAUUCCAUCUAAAGCUAAAUAUUGGCGAGAGACCGAUAGCGAACAAGUACCGUGAGGGAAAGAUGAAAAGCACUUUGGAAAGAGAGUUAACAGUACGUGAAAUUGUUGGAAGGGAAACGCUUGAAGUCAGACUUGCUUGCCGAGCAAUCGGUUUGCAGGCCAGCAUCAGUUUUCCGGGAUGGAUAAUGGUAGAGAGAAGGUAGCAGUUUCGGCUGUGUUAUAGCUCUCUGCUGGAUACAUCUUGGGGGACUGAGGAACGCAGUGUGCCUUUGGCGGGGGUUUCGACCUCUUCACACUUAGGAUGCUG